RNAcentral lists this ribosomal RNA (511 nucleotides) under uncultured Flavobacterium sp. RNAcentral's name for it is "bacterial SSU rRNA". It matches the Rfam family "Bacterial small subunit ribosomal RNA", at positions 9 to 523 of the family's 1533-position model. The record is from RNAcentral. Lineage: Bacteria; Pseudomonadati; Bacteroidota; Flavobacteriia; Flavobacteriales; Flavobacteriaceae.
GAGUUUGAUCAUGGCCAGGAUGAACGCUAGCGGCAGGCUUAACACAUGCAAGUCGAGGGGUAUAGCACUUCGGUGCUAGAGACCGGCGCACGGGUGCGUAACGCGUAUGCAAUCUGCCUUUCACAGAGGGAUAGCCCAGAGAAAUUUGGAUUAAUACCUCAUAGUAUUAUGGAGUGGCAUCACUUUAUAAUUAAAGUCACAACGGUGAAAGAUGAGCAUGCGUCCCAUUAGCUAGUUGGUAAGGUAACGGCUUACCAAGGCUACGAUGGGUAGGGGUCCUGAGAGGGAGAUCCCCCACACUGGUACUGAGACACGGACCAGACUCCUACGGGAGGCAGCAGUGAGGAAUAUUGGUCAAUGGGCGCAAGCCUGAACCAGCCAUGCCGCGUGCAGGAUGACGGUCCUAUGGAUUGUAAACUGCUUUUGUACGAGAAGAAACACUCCAACGUGUUGGAGCUUGACGGUAUCGUAAGAAUAAGGAUCGGCUAACUCCGUGCCAGCAGCGCGGUAA